CCUACGGGCGGCUGCAGUGGGGAAUAUUGCACAAUGGGCGCAAGCCUGAUGCAGCCAUGCCGCGUGUGUGAAGAAGGCCUUCGGGUUGUAAAGCACUUUCAGCGGGGAGGAAGGCGGUGAGGUUAAUAACCUCAUCGAUUGACGUUACCCGCAGAAGAAGCACCGGCUAACUCCGUGCCAGCAGCCGCGGUAAUACGGAGGGUGCAAGCGUUAAUCGGAAUUACUGGGCGUAAAGCGCACGCAGGCGGUCUGUCAAGUCGGAUGUGAAAUCCCCGGGCUCAACCUGGGAACUGCAUUCGAAACUGGCAGGCUAGAGUCUUGUAGAGGGGGGUAGAAUUCCAGGUGGAGCGGGGAAAUGCGUAGAGAUCUGGAGGAAUACCGGGGGCGAAGGCGGCCCCCUGGACAAAGACUGACGCUCAGGUGCGAAAGCGUGGGGAGCAAACAGGAUUAGAUACCCCUGUAGUC
Molecule: ribosomal RNA, 465 nt
Filed under: uncultured Klebsiella sp.
Lineage: Bacteria; Pseudomonadati; Pseudomonadota; Gammaproteobacteria; Enterobacterales; Enterobacteriaceae
Description: bacterial SSU rRNA
Rfam family: Bacterial small subunit ribosomal RNA
Source: RNAcentral